Microtus oregoni (creeping vole) is the source of this 137-nucleotide small nucleolar RNA. The record is from RefSeq and is a predicted model, not a curated record. Lineage: Eukaryota; Metazoa; Chordata; Mammalia; Rodentia; Cricetidae.
ACUUGGCCUUAUCAAAGCCACAGCUGAUUCUAGACAGGUCCUGCAGUUAAAAAAAAAAGAGGCCUGGUGUAAAGCAUUUCCUGGACAAUUAUGAUUUUGUUUGCUAUGACUGACCUAUAUUUUUAGAAGAGACAGUG